RNAcentral lists this ribosomal RNA (253 nucleotides) under uncultured bacterium. RNAcentral describes it as "partial 16S ribosomal RNA". It matches the Rfam family "Bacterial small subunit ribosomal RNA", at positions 524 to 776 of the family's 1533-position model. The record is from RNAcentral.
UACGUAGGUGGCAAGCGUUGUCCGGAAUUAUUGGGCGUAAAGCGCGCGCAGGCGGUCCUUUAAGUCUGAUGUGAAAGCCCACGGCUCAACCGUGGAGGGUCAUUGGAAACUGGAGGACUUGAGUGCAGAAGAGGAGAGUGGAAUUCCACGUGUAGCGGUGAAAUGCGUAGAGAUGUGGAGGAACACCAGUGGCGAAGGCGACUCUCUGGUCUGUAACUGACGCUGAGGCGCGAAGGCGUGGGGAGCAAACAGG